This 472-nucleotide ribosomal RNA is filed under the name Veillonella dispar. Its description in RNAcentral is "bacterial SSU rRNA". It matches the Rfam family "Bacterial small subunit ribosomal RNA", at positions 28 to 477 of the family's 1533-position model. The record is from RNAcentral. Lineage: Bacteria; Bacillati; Bacillota; Negativicutes; Veillonellales; Veillonellaceae.
GACGAACGCUGGCGGCGUGCUUAACACAUGCAAGUCGAACGAAGAGCGAUGGAAGCUUGCUUCUAUCAAUCUUAGUGGCGAACGGGUGAGUAACGCGUAAUCAACCUGCCCUUCAGAGGGGGACAACAGUUGGAAACGACUGCUAAUACCGCAUACGAUCUAACCUUGGCAUCGAGGAUGGAUGAAAGGUGGCCUCUAUUUAUAAGCUAUCACUGAAGGAGGGGAUUGCGUCUGAUUAGCUAGUUGGAGGGGUAACGGCCCACCAAGGCGAUGAUCAGUAGCCGGUCUGAGAGGAUGAACGGCCACAUUGGGACUGAGACACGGCCCAGACUCCUACGGGAGGCAGCAGUGGGGAAUCUUCCGCAAUGGACGAAAGUCUGACGGAGCAACGCCGCGUGAGUGAUGACGGCCUUCGGGUUGUAAAGCUCUGUUAAUCGGGACGAAAGGCCUUCUUGCGAAUAGUUAGAAGGAU